This 238-nucleotide long non-coding RNA is filed under the name Lathyrus oleraceus (garden pea). RNAcentral describes it as "Pisum sativum (pea) long non-coding RNA (PSAT_LNC020254)". Lineage: Eukaryota; Viridiplantae; Streptophyta; Magnoliopsida; Fabales; Fabaceae. The record is from RNAcentral.
CUUUUUGUGUGUUUGGAGUCUGACGUAAGCCAGCGAUUGGCAGUUCGUUUCCUGUGUGUGUUUGUUGGUUCGGAGUCUGAUGUAAGUCCAGCGAUUGGCAUUCGGUUUCCAUGUUUGCCUGUUUGUGUGGAGUCUGACAUAAGUGUAAAACCCAAAAAUUUGCCCUCCUCAUUCAUGCAUUCAUUUAGCAUUUCAUAUUGCAUUUCAUCAUGUCAAUCAGAAUUAGAUCCGAAAAAAA